Molecule: ribosomal RNA, 497 nt
Filed under: uncultured bacterium
Lineage: Bacteria
Description: partial 16S ribosomal RNA
Rfam family: Bacterial small subunit ribosomal RNA
Source: RNAcentral
GAUGAACGCUGGCGGCGUGCCUAAUACAUGCCAGUCGAGCGAACGGAUGAGAAGCUUGCUUCUCUGAUGUUAGCGGCGGACGGGUGAGUAACACGUGGAUAACCUACCUAUAAGACUGGGAUAACUUCGGGAAACCGGAGCUAAUACCGGAUUAUAUUUUGAACCGCAUGGUUCAAAAGUGAAAGACGGUCUUGCUGUCACUUAUAGAUGGAUCCGCGCUGCAUUAGCUAGUUGGUAAGGUAACGGCUUACCAAGGCAACGAUGCAUAGCCGACCUGAGAGGGUGAUCGGCCACACUGGAACUGAGACACGGUCCAGACUCCUACGGGAGGAAGCAGUAGGGAAUCUUCCGCAAUGGGCGAAAGCCUGACGGAGCAACGCCGCGUGAGUGAUGAAGGUCUUCGGAUCGUAAAACUCUGUUAUUAGGGAAGAACAUAUGUGUAAGUAACUGUGCACAUCUUGACGGUACCUAAUCAGAAAGCCACGGCUAACUACGUG